This 180-nucleotide small RNA is filed under the name Chelonoidis abingdonii (Abingdon island giant tortoise). RNAcentral's name for it is "TUC338 (ENSCABG00000002080.1)". Lineage: Eukaryota; Metazoa; Chordata; Testudines; Testudinidae. The record is from RNAcentral.
UUGACACCCUCAAAGGCCAAAGUCCUCUAGACAUCCACAGAAGAUCAGGCAGAGUAUGAGAAAUAACAGUGCAAGCUUCCUCACAAUCCCUCACUGAUGUGACUCAACCAUGACUUAGAAGGACCAUUUCUAUGUGAGAUAGGGCAGGUUGAUCUCCAUGCCCAUCAAUGCUUGCCCUUU